This 468-nucleotide ribosomal RNA is filed under the name uncultured bacterium. RNAcentral describes it as "partial 16S ribosomal RNA". It matches the Rfam family "Bacterial small subunit ribosomal RNA", at positions 28 to 507 of the family's 1533-position model. The record is from RNAcentral.
GACGAACGCUGGCGGCGUGCUUAACACAUGCAAGUCGAACGGAAAGGCUCCAGCUUGCUGGAGUACUCGAGUGGCGAACGGGUGAGUAACACGUGGGUGAUCUGCCCUGCACUUCGGGAUAAGCCUGGGAAACUGGGUCUAAUACCGGAUAGGACCGCACUUUGGUGUGUGUGGUGGAAAGGUUUUUCUGGUGUGGGAUGAGGUCGCGGCCUAUCAGUUUGUUGGUGGGGUAAUGGCCUACCAAGACGGCGACGGGUAGCCGGCCUGAGAGGGUGGACGGUCACAUUGGGACUGAGAUACGGCCCAGACUCCUACGGGAGGAAGCAGUGGGGAAUCUUGCACAAUGGGGGAAACCCUGAUGCAGAGACGCCGCGUGGGGGAUGAAGGCCUUCGGGUUGUAAACUCCUUUCGCUAGGGACGAAGCUUUUUGUGACGGUACCUGGAGAAGAAGCACCGGCUAACUACGUG